Molecule: ribosomal RNA, 449 nt
Filed under: uncultured bacterium
Lineage: Bacteria
Description: bacterial SSU rRNA
Rfam family: Bacterial small subunit ribosomal RNA
Source: RNAcentral
GCCAGACUCCUACGGGAGGCAGCAGUGGGGAAUAUUGCACAAUGGGGGAAACCCCGAUGCAGCAACGCCGCGUGGGUGAAGAAGUAUUUCGGUAUGUAAAGCUCUAUCAGCAGGGAAGAAGAAAGACGGUACCUGACUAAGAAGCCCCGGCUAACUACGUGCCAGCAGCCGCGGUAAUACGUAGGGGGCAAGCGUUAUCCGGAUUUACUGGGUGUAAAGGGAGCGUAGACGGCUGUGCAAGUCUGAAGUGAAAGCCCGUGGCUCAACCGCGGAACUGCUCUUGGAACUGCAUGGCUGGAGUACAGGAGGGGCAGGCGGAAUUCCUAGUGUAGCGGUGAAAUGCGUAGAUAUUAGGAGGAACACCGGUGGCGAAGGCGGCCUGCUGGACUGUGACUGACGUUGAGGCCCGAAGGCGUGGGGAGCAAACAGGAUUAGAUACCCCUGUAUAU